This 59-nucleotide transfer RNA is filed under the name Campylobacter coli. RNAcentral describes it as "tRNA-Met". It matches the Rfam family "tRNA", at positions 8 to 63 of the family's 71-position model. From Rfam's summary of the family: Transfer RNA (tRNA) molecules are approximately 80 nucleotides in length. RNAcentral also lists the same sequence under 1 other name. Lineage: Bacteria; Pseudomonadati; Campylobacterota; Epsilonproteobacteria; Campylobacterales; Campylobacteraceae. The record is from RNAcentral.
UAGCUCAGUUGGUUAGAGCAACCGGCUCAUAACCGGUUGGUCGCAGGUUCGAGUCCUGC